Molecule: non-coding RNA, 86 nt
Filed under: Massilia timonae
Lineage: Bacteria; Pseudomonadati; Pseudomonadota; Betaproteobacteria; Burkholderiales; Oxalobacteraceae
Also listed under: 1 other name
Description: Glycine sequence
Rfam family: Glycine riboswitch aptamer
About the family: This family represents the bacterial glycine riboswitch. Glycine riboswitches usually consist of two metabolite-binding aptamers domains with similar structures in tandem.
Source: RNAcentral
CAGUCUUGAUCGGGAGAGCGCAGCGACGCUGCCGCCGAAGGGGCACUCACCCAUAAACUCUCAGGCAAAAGGACCGGUCAAGGGAC